This 2864-nucleotide long non-coding RNA is filed under the name Equus caballus (horse). RNAcentral's name for it is "lncRNA (ENSECAG00000046646.1)". Lineage: Eukaryota; Metazoa; Chordata; Mammalia; Perissodactyla; Equidae. The record is from RNAcentral.
UUUACAUGAAUUUGUAGUUUAUUAAGUAAUGACAAACACAUACACUGGGACAGAGUCCAUUUCUCUGCCAGUCAUUUUAUUACUCAGUCUACACAAAGUGUUUGUUGUAUGUAAAGCACUCUGAGCCCUUGCAAUAACUCAUGCAGGACAGCAUCUUACAGCGCAAAGAGCUGGGGGUCACCUGGGAGGCCCGAAACCUUGAUUCUAAUCUUAAUUCAGUCAUUAUCUAACUGUGUAACCUUGAGCAAAUCCAUUUUCUUCUCUGUGUCUCAGUUUCCAGGCCUGUAAAAUGAAUGGGUUAGCCUAUAUAAUCCCUAAAUUUCUUUCUGGCUCUUAAAGUUUAACAUGUAUGAUUUUAUGCCUAAUUAAUUUCAAAUACUAUAUCUACAUGGUGUUAUUUGCGAAGAUGAGAGCAUGUCUAUUAUAGAAGACAGCAAGGUAUUUCAAAUCCUAAGACCAGUCAGAUCCUGACUCUAGUUUCCUUGGGUAAGUCAUUAACCCUUUUAAGCCUCAAUGUCAUACUGUACUACAAUUAUUUAUUUUACUUAUCUAUCUCUCCUACUAGACUUGAACUUCUAGAGAGCAGGGUAUUCUCAUAUUCAUCUUUCUAUCAUCAAAGCCUAGUGUCAUGUCUGGAGUCUGGUAGGUACUCAAUAUAGGCUUAUUACAUAGAUGAAGGGAUGGCUACAAUCUGAGGGUAAGAAUGACAGCUCCAUCUACCUUACAGAAUUAUUGUAUCGUGAAAUGAGCUAAUAAAUGAAAACAUAUCUUUUAGAUUCAUACUAAAAAAUUAUAUGUUAUUAUUUGUAUUUGAAAUAGUCCAAGUAGAACAUUUUAUUCAUUUAUAAAGAUCUGAUCUGGCCUCCAACUUUUGGUAAAGGAUGAAUGAUAGGCAUUUUUUUCUUGCCUAUGCUAAAUUUCACCUUUCUUUGGAAAUUUUUAUACGCUUUUCUUCUUCUCUUUUUAAAAUUUAACUGAAAGUAUACUUCUAUACACUCACCAUUUUUUAUUUUUCCAUAACUUUUGGGGGAAUGUUUUGGAGUAAUUGGCCAGUAGCUUAGCGCCAGUCUAAUUUAAAUAAGGCAUUUUUAUUAACUUCUACAAAUCAAAACAACGCAGGAGAUAGUGUCUCAGCAAUUGUAUACAUCAGACGCGUGAAUUUUCUGAUGAGCUCAGUGUUCACUAGACUAGUUCCCUAAAGAUGCUCCUGAUUCAGUUUCUACUACAGCUGAAUGCCAACAGUUCUGCCUUUGCAUAUUUCCUCAAAUGGUCUCUCUCUUUUUAGUAAUGAGACUAAAUUUUUCUAAAUUUAGUGUAUCAUUUAAUAAUUCCUGAUUACACUUGGGUACCAUUUUAAAAUGUGAACAUUUCCCUUAACUGAGUUUAAAUCUAGUCCAACUUGAGCAGCGUUUCCUGAAAGGAAUACUACUCCUAAGCAAUAAUGCUCACAAAAAACAGCCAUGGGACAAACACAUUUAGGAAAGUUUGCAUAUUAUAACCUCUCCCCAGUGAUUCACAAACCCCUCAGCACACUGAAGAUUCUGAAAGGCCUUUAUAAAGCCACGUGUUCCAUUUCUUUGUUGUAUAGCAAAUAAACUUGAUUUAACUUGCUUAACUCAGCAUUUCUCAAACUUCCUUAUUUCAUGUGCCACUAAAAAAGAAAAACUGCCAAUUAAACUGGGACUCCAUGCUAAGAUGCCAUCAAAUGUGACAUCAGAAAGGUUAAAAUUAGAAAUAUAUGUGCAUCUUGGAAUCGAUGAAAUCUAUGCCCACAGAACCCUUUUUCUCAAACAUCACCUAUGGACAUCCGGAGGAUCUAGCGUUCUCUGGAAACCGAAGCUCUAGCGGAGAACUUUCACAAUUAUUUCAGAGGAAGAGGGUAAAAGGCUGUUUUUUCCUAUUAAGAAGUAAAAGAACUAAAAAUUUUGAAGUAGAAAUAAGAAAGAAAGAAAUACUGGUCACUCAUUUUCAGUAUGAAAUAGACCUCGUCCAGUUAAAGAGUAAUUUCCAGGUCCAUACCGGCAUGUAACUGUCCAGCUGUCCUCACGCGCACGUAAAUCUCUUUAAAUCAAGAUGGCAUGUAAUUAAAUCGUUCAGCUGGUGGACAGGCUUCUCCGCCAAGGUAGUUCACUUUCACUCGGCGUGACCCCUCUGCCUCUGAAGAGCCCCACACCCUGAAGUGACUCAACUUCAUAAAACCCCCAUUAAAAUCGCCAGCACUUUACAGGCAAUAGACUUGGGCGUAAAGGAUCAGUGACCUCACAGUGAGUCAGAUGAGGUACGUGAGUGUCAGGGGAGGCUGGAGGAUUAGCAAAUCAGCUUCCAGGGCAAGGGUGCGGUGGACGCCUGGCUCUUCAGGCUUCCCGCGCAGGAGGGCACCCGCGUGGCCCAAGUCAACCCAUUUACAUCCCUCUCCAUCUUGCCAAUCCGAGUCCUGACGGGGAUGUGGGCAUGACUUUGGGGACAGCCUGUGCCACUUCAGGCUGGUCCAGGUCCCGUUGUCGGCGUCACCCCUCCCCCACCCCCCCUCCGCUUACGCCAAGGUUUAGCUCUUCGUUAGUUCUGAGUGUCUGAACUGGGCGAAUCCAUCUUUCUGAACACGAAUCUAGAGGUUUCCCCAGGCUCUUCGGGUUGCCAGAACCCGCCAGGGCCUCGUGCCGUCAUUCGGGCUGGUAACAAACAGCCGAUGACCUCGGGAGGCCCGAAGUCACCUUCACACUCUCCUUUGCCCCACACCUCGCAGCUCUCUCCCCUCCCCCGGGGCCAGUCUCCACCACCAGCCUUCCUCCGAGCCGGGGCCUGCCUCUCCAGGAAGCGCCCACUUCCCCAGCCCGGAGCUGCAGGGCGGGAGGAAAAACUUGUAG